This 103-nucleotide small RNA is filed under the name Marmota monax (woodchuck). Lineage: Eukaryota; Metazoa; Chordata; Mammalia; Rodentia; Sciuridae. The record is from RNAcentral.
GCCAGGUGUGGUGAUGCACACCUAUAAUUCCAGUGGCCUGGGAGGCUGGGACAGGAGGAUCACAAGUUCAGCGAGGUGCUAAACAACUCAGACCCUGUCUCUA